Helianthus annuus (common sunflower) is the source of this 3477-nucleotide long non-coding RNA. RefSeq lists it as uncharacterized. Lineage: Eukaryota; Viridiplantae; Streptophyta; Magnoliopsida; Asterales; Asteraceae. The transcript is spliced from 3 exons. The record is from RefSeq and is a predicted model, not a curated record.
AAGGAAUCAAUAUUAAGAUCAAAGAGUAAAAAAAGAAGUUAUGCUACAACGUCUAGUUUGUAAAUACCUAUGAUAUUAUUUUAUCUCUAGUAGUAGUGUUGUUACAGUGAAUGGUCUGUUAGGGAUCUCACUCCAUCCGUCUACAUAUUAGGGUUUUGCUACUUCGCCAUUCCAAGGUAUAAUUCUUGAUUAGGGUUUUGCUACUUCCAUUCCAAGAAUAUGAUAUCACAGUGUGUGACAGUUGGAGGAUCAAGAUCAUACUUUGUUGAUCUGCUGCAUGGUAUAUUGAAGUUUGAUCCUGUAGACCGUCUCACCGCUCAAUAAGCUCUUGACCAUCCAUUCUUUAGAAACAGUCCUGCAUAAGCUGACAGUAGUUUUCUGGUAUAUACAUGAUGAUUCCUUCUGCCGGCGAUCACCAAAUAUUAACUGUAAGUUCAACUAAUGGAAGAUCAUGGUUCGUUAUACUUGCUUACAGCUCUUUAAGAAGUAAAUAAACACUGUUCUUCCUCCAUUAGUAUUGUUUCUUAAUAUCAUUUAUACUUUCUUCCUGAUAGAUUUAAGCUCUCUCCCUCUCUUUCCUCAAUGAUUCGUCAAAGUAGAAUGAAGAAUCUUCAAUCUCUAGUUUGGAUCACUUUCGGAUCUAACUAUGGAUCGACCAACCUCUACCGUUUUCAACUAUUAUAUUGAUGCUUUUUAAUCGCUUCCCAACCUGUCUCUAGAUCUUUGAUUGUUUUAAGUUCAAUUUGAUUAUGAAAAGUUGGGGAUUGGUUUAGAUCUGCUUCUAGCCUACAAGAUUUCUGGUUUGUGUACUCUUAAGUACUAUCUUUGUUAUAAAAUUCACCAAAAGUCAACCCAGUUUACAGAUCUUGGUUCCUUUGAGCUUUUAAUACCAUUCAAUGGAUGUGGAAAAAAAUUGUAUAAAGAUGUGUUUCUGGAGUUGCUUACCUGCUGCUCUUGUUGUUAGAUAUCAAACUAUGUCCAUAACAAUUCAACUUUCCUUAACUAGGUAAAUUUAACAUAUUUAUUAUUAGUUACAACUUAUACAAGUUUUAGAUCUGAUUCAUAAGAAACUACCUGCACUAAACUAGUUAGAGUCAACUAUUCAACUCAUAAUGAAUUUAGUUAUGUCUCCAAUAAGUUUUUUGUGUCCACUACUAAAAACCUCAUUUGUUUUCUUGAAAUUAUGCGCGCGUAGCAUUUUAGUUCAUCAUAUAUUGUCCUAAUAUGGUUUGUAUACCUUGCAAAUAUAUGUGUUCCGACAACUAGGGGCGGCAAUUCUUGACACGACCCGUCAACCUGACCCGAACCCGACACGAAUGAAAACAGGUUUGGGUCGACUAAUACGACCCGUUUAAAAAAACGGGUCAGGUUCGGGUUGACACGUAUUAAAAACGGGUCGGGUUUGGGUUGACCUGUAUAAAAAUGGGUUGACCCAUUAAUCAGUUGAACAAUUUAGAAAAAAAAAACUUUUAUAUUUUUGUUUUUGUUUUUUUUUCUGAUUCCAUUUUACAUGCUUAGUUAUAAAAACACAUUAUAUUUUUUAUUUGUUACACUCAUACUCAUCAUUAAAUUUAUUAUCGAUAACCCGCUUAAAACCCAACAACUCGUUUAUAAAUCGUCAACUUGUAUGACUCAUUUAAAAAUACGAGUUAAACGUGUCAGGUUCGGGUUGACCCGAAUUUAUGUGGGUCGGGUUAGGGUUGAAGAAGCCUACAACAAACAAUCGCACCGCCAUAAGCUUCAUCUGUGAUUCUUUAUUGUUUUUUUUUUUUUGGUUUUUUGGAUAUGGGAAAUCCAAAUAUGAAAGAUCUUGAGAGCUAUUUGAGCAUGCUGUUGAAAUGGUAUGCAUGGUACUUUUCUUUAAAAACUUUGUUUGAUAUAAAAAUUUGCCAUCUUUUGUUGUAAGUAAGAUACGCAUAUGUAAUUUGAACUUUUUAAUUAUUUAUGACUUAAUUUGGUUUUUAAACAUGGUUCAAGAUCCAACAUGUCUAACCAGUGCCGAUAAGACGUACAGUUCACUAUCCAGUCCGGUUAUGAAAAUACUGGUGUUAAUUGGCAUUUUCAUUUUAAGCAGGAUCUCACGUCUCAAUAGUUUAUUAGUUACUGAUUUUCUUUGCUUUGCAGUUCUUUUGAUAAAGCUUGUGAUUUGUUUACUCAUAAGCUAAACGAGUUUAACAGCAGAGAUGGACUUGGGGCUUGAAGAUAAUCAACGAUUCAAGAAAUAUUAUUUUUUAUAUUAUUAUUGAGCUGCAAGUGAUUCGGGAUAGUAAUGAUUGCGGUAGGUAAUGUUGGGCUAGAGUUGACUUUGUGUAAAGUCAGCUAAUGUGCUAUAUUUGCCAAGUCAACAAUCCGUACAACAUGAUUGGUUAGAGGCAAAGGUAUGGUCAAAGGCAAUUGAUUAUAGUGCAUCAGUUGAGUUCCAUUGAUUUAGAGACUCAAAUGCCAAAAGUCCCCAGGUAUGUCAACAUUGUAAUUGGGAUUGCCAUUCCAGCAGUUUGGAUACUGGUGCAAUUGGCCAGUUCACACUGAUCCGUGUAAACUGUUUUUUUUUGGCAUGCAAUUGGAUGCCCACUACAAAUGCACCUGGUUAUGUUUUAUGAACUCCGUAUGUGCAAAGACUAAAAGUGCAAAGAUGUUAUUGUUGGAUCCUAUGUUGUCAAAGACGCAAGGCGCAGGCGAGGUGCAUCGGCCUCGCCCGGAGCCUAGGCGCAAGUCGCAAAAAAAGCGUGGGCUUUUUUUAAGAAAAGCGCAUAUAGAGAAAAAAAAUAUAAAAAAUAUGUUAUGCUUUAAAAAUAAAUAAGAUUCCACAUAUAAAACUAAAAAAAGGACGGUUUUUGCGCCUAGUUGCGCGCCUUUUUGCGCCUCGGCACCGGUUUUUUCAAAAAAAAAAACCCAUUUUUGCGCCUAGGCUACCACCAGGCGCUAUAGGUGCGCCUCGCUGCGCCCGAGCACCUAGGCGCGCGCUUUUUGCGCUUUUGGCAACAUAGGUUUGAUCAAAAGGGAACAAAAUAAGCCAAAGUGCAAAAGUGCAAAGAUGCUACUGGUCAAAUUAUAUUUUAUUUUCUUUGCAACCAACUUGACCCGUUAUUACUUUCGUUAGUUCUGCCUUCUUGAUCCUAUUCAUUGGUUGUUUUGUAGAUUGAAAAGUUGAACUUAGUUAUCAAGGAGCUCGUCAAGGAUAAUGAUGAAGAAAAAGAAAGGUUAAAUGGAAUUAUUGCGAAGUUGUUGGCUGAAAAAGAAAAAGAUAAAGUGGAUAAAGACGCUAUGCUCGACAACAAAUUGAAGCUAUGUUAACUGCCGCAGUUCGAAGAUAGGCUAUAAACACUUGGUUUCGAACGUUUCGAUGUUUAUCAUAUUAGGAUACUUUUAGUUGUUUUAUGUUUUAGCUGAUAUUUUUAUUAGAAUGUUUUAUGUGUUUUUGAAACAGAAAUGUUUUAUAUAACUUUGGGAUUUUGUGAUUUUAUUAGACUUUUUAUA